GUGAAUCAUCAAAUCUUUGAACGCAAAUUGCACUCUCCGGUUUUCCGGGAGAGUAUGCCUGUUUGAGGGUCAGCCUAAAAAAAAUCGACAUUGUUGCUGUUAUUUAAUGGUGACUUUCGUCGGAGAUUGGGUUAUCUUAAACCUUUUUUUUUUUUUGGUUUAAGCGACUUAAAAUUUUUUUUCCCGAUUACAUAAACUUUUCUAAGCAUUUUAUUUUUUAUCUUUUUAAGGUUUAUCGCUUUUUUAUUAGACGUGUCCGUCGCAUCGGA
This 269-nucleotide unclassified non-coding RNA is filed under the name Glomeraceae sp. RNAcentral's name for it is "partial contains 5.8S ribosomal RNA and internal transcribed spacer 2". The stretch from base 1 to 72 matches the Rfam family "5.8S ribosomal RNA", at positions 84 to 154 of the family's 154-position model. The record is from RNAcentral. Lineage: Eukaryota; Fungi; Glomeromycota; Glomeromycetes; Glomerales; Glomeraceae.